GACGAACGCUGGCGGCGUGCUUAACACAUGCAAGUCGAACGGAAAGGCCCUGCUUUUGUGGGGUGCUCGAGUGGCGAACGGGUGAGUAACACGUGAGUAACCUGCCCUUGACUUUGGGAUAACUUCAGGAAACUGGGGCUAAUACCGGAUAGGAGCUCCUGCUGCAUGGUGGGGGUUGGAAAGUUUCGGCGGUUGGGGAUGGACUCGCGGCUUAUCAGCUUGUUGGGGGGGUAGUGGCUUACCAAGGCUUUGACGGGUAGCCGGCCUGAGAGGGUGACCGGCCAUAUUGGGACUGAGAUACGGCCCAGACUCCUACGGGAGGCAGCAGUGGGGAAUAUUGCACAAUGGGCGGAAGCCUGAUGCAGCAACGCCGCGUGCGGGAUGACGGCCUUCGGGUUGUAAACCGCUUUCGCCUGUGACGAAGCGUGAGUGACGGUAAUGGGUAAAGAAGCACCGGCUAACUACGUG
Molecule: ribosomal RNA, 468 nt
Filed under: uncultured bacterium
Lineage: Bacteria
Description: partial 16S ribosomal RNA
Rfam family: Bacterial small subunit ribosomal RNA
Source: RNAcentral